CCGGUACGAGGGCUGCCGGCGCAGCUCCGGAGCGUCUAGAGCGCCGCGCGGGCAGGAUCUUGCUGGACCAGGAGCGGCAGCGCAUCCUCCUGCGACUCCGGGGCCAGACGCCCACUCCAGCGCUUUCUGCGCAGCACAGGCACCCUCGCCUGUCACGCCUCCCUCUCCUCUUCCCGUCUCCCAGCGUGGAUGAGGGCGCUUGCAGAUCCCGGCUGGGGCACUGGCCGCCUAGGCCGAGAUUUCUUUAAAGCCUCAUGGAACACAUCAUCAUCGCUGGAUGCCCGGACACUUAACGCACCUGACAGCAGGCGAAGUGCUCAGAAUGGGACAGGAUGUCACCUGGAAUCAGCACUAAGUGAUUCAGACUGUCCUUACUUUUAAAUGUGCUGUUCUUCAUUUCAAGAUGCCGUUGCAGCUCUGAUAAAUGCAAACUGACAACCUUCAAGGUCACAACGGAGGAAAAAAUCACUGGUGCUUGAAGCAUAGAAGACUGCCCUUCACAACGAAA
This 508-nucleotide long non-coding RNA is filed under the name Theropithecus gelada (gelada). RNAcentral's name for it is "lncRNA (ENSTGEG00000026431.1)". Lineage: Eukaryota; Metazoa; Chordata; Mammalia; Primates; Cercopithecidae. The record is from RNAcentral.